UACAGAGGGUGCGAGCGUUAAUCGGAGUUACUGGGCGUAAAGGGCGCGUAGGCGGUGAUAUGAGUGUGAUGUGAAAGCCCCGGGCUUAACCUGGGAAGUGCAUCGCAAACGAUAUGACUAGAGUAUAUGAGAGGGUGGCGGAAUUUCCGGUGUAGCGGUGAAAUGCGUAGAGAUCGGAAGGAACGUCAAUGGCGAAGGCAGCCACCUGGCAUAAUACUGACGCUGAGGCGCGAAAGCGUGGGGAGCGAACAGG
Molecule: ribosomal RNA, 253 nt
Filed under: uncultured bacterium
Lineage: Bacteria
Description: partial 16S ribosomal RNA
Rfam family: Bacterial small subunit ribosomal RNA
Source: RNAcentral